RNAcentral lists this long non-coding RNA (1322 nucleotides) under Phasianus colchicus (ring-necked pheasant). RNAcentral's name for it is "lncRNA (ENSPCLG00000018858.1)". The record is from RNAcentral. Lineage: Eukaryota; Metazoa; Chordata; Aves; Galliformes; Phasianidae.
ACGUUCCGAAUUUGGAGACCUCAAAUGGCAAAGGUGAAAUGGGCGUCAGCUCUCCGGAAUGAAGGAAUCUCUCCCAGGGUUUUCUGCUGGAUCACAGCAGGAGGAUUUGCUUUCCUGAAGCAUUGAGUGACGUGAAGAACCCAAAUCGGAGCCAGCGGCCACAUUCUUUCAAGGGAAAACCCUUUGGGUGCCCCUACGGUUCCCUUUCUAUCACCAUAACAAACCCCUUCUCCAUCCACUCAUCCCCUUUUGGGUUCGGAGGUUGACAGAUCCCUUCUGAAAUUCUCAUAUUGCACACAUGCCCUUCUUUCUUUACCUCUGAGGCAGCAAAGAUCCCACAGUGACUUAAUUCGGAGUGAGAUCAACAAUCUUAGACAUCCUAUAUUAACUUCACAUUGUUUCAUGUUGAUCAGCAGCAAAAAAAUAAAAUAAAGGAAUAGGAGUUUAUCUGUGGGAAUGCUCUGCAUUUUCACGCUUGGCUGAUUGAAGGAAGCUGGGAGGAAAUGUUGUGAAAUAAUCCCAAAUGAUGAGAAAUUGUGGGUAGGGGAGGGGGUGCCCUCUGUCCUGAUGAGCAGCAGGGACAAAGUAGAAAGGAAUAGGCAUGAGCUCAUUUCAUAUCUCUUUAUUUUAGGGCAUUGCUAACCAAUGCUGUCACAUUAUUUGGGGCCAGGAGUGGCUGCUGCCCCAUUGGUGCCCAGAAACCAAUGCUGCCCCAUUUGGGAUUGGGGUCUGCUCUCAGACCGCGUCCUCCAACCAACCCAUGGCUGAUAGCAGAGGGGCGACCAGCUCAACCCUCCAUUCCUACCCUUCUCUGCAGAAACCUGUUCCUGUCUAUAUAGGGAUCCCCAUCCCUCCUUCCAUCCUCGGCAUUUAGGUAGGCUAUAAUUAGGCUCUGGGAACGUCCCCCUGCUGUCAGCACAGCUGUCGUGCCUGCAAUGAUCCUUCCAGCUCUCUGCGGUCACGCAAAGCCUCCAGCAAUCCUAAAUACCCAUUUCCUGCCCUCCUGGGACAAACUGGGAGCUGCCAAAAAAUCUCCAGCCCCCCACGGACGUGACCAUCACAGCACCAAGGAGCAAAGCAAGCGCAACGUGAUUACGGUGCAGGUCGGGGUGGACAUUUGGAAGUGGUUCUGACUGGGAAGAGGACGUGAUGAUGGCAUCAGGUAGAGCUCACGAAGUGCUAUUUAUCAGCAAAGCAAUGUUGCAGAUCUGUUUUUUCCCAUUUUUCCCAUAUUUUUUCUCAUUCAGGGAAGAGGAACGCGGAUCUUGGUGAGUGAUUUUCUUCCUUUUUCCAUCAAAAAGUCUCUUUCCAUGCAUAGAAAU